UACGUAGGGGGCAAGCGUUGUCCGGAUUUAUUGGGCGUAAAGAGCGUGUAGGCGGCCAGGUAGGUCCGUUGUGAAAACUCGAGGCUCAACCUCGAGACGCCGAUGGAAACCCCCUGGCUAGAGUCCGGAAGAGGAGAGUGGAAUUCCGGGUGUAGCGGUGAAAUGCGUAGAUAUCGAGAGGAAUACCAACGGCGAAGGCAGGUCACUGGGCAGUUACUGACACUGAGGCACGAAGGCCAGGGGAGCAAACGGG
This 253-nucleotide ribosomal RNA is filed under the name uncultured bacterium. RNAcentral describes it as "partial 16S ribosomal RNA". It matches the Rfam family "Bacterial small subunit ribosomal RNA", at positions 524 to 776 of the family's 1533-position model. The record is from RNAcentral.